GCCACAACUGAGCCCACAGCCCACAGGCACACUCGUUUCGUUCCGAACAGCCCCCGACCAAAACCUCGCUCGUUUCGUUCCCCAAUCUCCUCCUACCUUAGCGCGGCGGACCGGUGGACCGGCGGGUGAAGCGCGGAAGUCGGAAGGCCGGUACCGCGGCAGGCGAGAGGCGGUGCGGCGCCAAGCAGCGGAGCGGGCGACCAGGCUCAGGAUCCGGGCGUUCCGUGCGAUGGGCGGAGAAGGCGGCACGGAGGAGGAGCUGACGGCACAGGAGACAGCGCUCUAUGACCGUCAGAUCCGCGUCUGGGGUGUUGAUGCUCAGAAGAGGCUAAGUAAAGCGCAUGUGCUUGUGUGCGGCGUGAACGGUACUACUAUUGAGUUCUGCAAGAAUAUUGUUCUAGCAGGAGUUGGCAGUUUAUCCUUGAUGGAUGAUCACAUAGUCACUGAGGAUGAUCUCAGUGCAAACUUCCUAAUUCCUCAUGACGUAUGUAUGCAAGGUGUUAGCUCACGAGCUGAGGCUUGCUGCGAGUCCUUGAAAGAUUUCAAUCCAAUGGUCCGAGUUGCUGUCGCAAUAGGUGAUCCAUCACUAAUUGAUGAAGGAUUCGUUGACAGGUUCGACAUCAUUGUAGUUAGCUGUGCAUCUCUUAAAACAAAGUUGUUCAUUAAUGACAACUGUCGGAAGAGAAGCAAGCAUAUUGCCUUCUACUCUGUAGAGUGCAAGGAUUCUUGUGGUGAAAUAUUUGUUGAUUUGCAGAACCAUAGUUAUCUUCAGAAGAAGCCUGGAGGAGAACCUGAACAGCAGGAAUUGACAUAUGCUAGCCUGCAGGAAGCUAUUUCUGUGCCCUGGAGGAAUCUGCCCAGGAAAACAACUAAAUUGUACUACGCCAUGAGAGUCUUGGAAAGUUAUGAAUUAUCUGAAGGGCGCGAGCCUGGUGAGACAACAUUUUGUGAUCUACCUGCAGUUUUGGCUCAGAGGAAGGAUAUGUGUGAUAGAAUGUCUUUAAGCGAGUCUCAAAUUCCUACGGCUCUCCUGGAACGGCUUUUAGCAGCUGGAAAGAAGGAACAUCCUCCUGUAUGUGCAAUCCUUGGUGGCAUUCUUGGUCAGGAGGUGAUUAAGUCUAUAUCUUGUAAGGGCGAUCCGAUCAAGAAUUUCUUUUAUUACGACGCAGCUGAUGGUAAAGGGAUCAUGGAGGACAUCCCCCCAACUCCCGUAGAGCAAUUCGCGUGAUGCCUAGCUCGCAUUGGUCAUUAAUCACUGAUUAUUGUACCCAAUCAUUGGGGCCAACAUGUGACAACUUCUUAUCGUGGCCGAGGCAGAAAACUCAUAUUACCUCCAUCCUUUUUUUCUGAAGCAUUCUUACCCAAGCUGGUCACAAUCGUACUGAGCAGAUUGCUGGUGAUGGUAGUAAGUAACAGGGGAUAACCGAAACAACUAUGUCCAAAUGGAUCAGAAAAGAAAGAAAGAAAAAAAAACUUAUGUCAAGGUCAUCCCAAGUAGCUGUUCAGGAGUUUUUUUUCUGAAGCAUUCUUACACCGGAUAGGUGAUGAGGUAGUUUUUGGUCUGUUCUUGGACCCGAACUAACAGGAUCAUUUCCUCUGAGGAAUGACAAGUAGGAGGUCCAAGUUUCUCCUUGCGGCAGAACUCCAGCAUAUCUGAUGUGAUGUUGAGGCGGAUAACUUGAGCUGCCACCAAGGGAUGCACUAGAAUUUGUGGCAUCUAUAACAUAUGGUUUGUGCUCAAAAUCAAAGUGGGGUGGAGCUUUGAUGCUCCUGGUUUUUGAAAUCUGAUUUGAA
Molecule: ribosomal RNA, 1794 nt
Filed under: Triticum aestivum (bread wheat)
Lineage: Eukaryota; Viridiplantae; Streptophyta; Magnoliopsida; Poales; Poaceae
Description: partial small subunit ribosomal RNA
Source: RNAcentral